Molecule: transfer RNA, 69 nt
Filed under: Phrynoglossus myanhessei
Lineage: Eukaryota; Metazoa; Chordata; Amphibia; Anura; Dicroglossidae
Description: tRNA-Met
Rfam family: tRNA
About the family: Transfer RNA (tRNA) molecules are approximately 80 nucleotides in length. Their secondary structure includes four short double-helical elements and three loops (D, anti-codon, and T loops). Further hydrogen bonds mediate the characteristic L-shaped molecular structure. tRNAs have two regions of fundamental functional importance: the anti-codon, which is responsible for specific mRNA codon recognition, and the 3' end, to which the tRNAs corresponding amino acid is attached (by aminoacyl-tRNA synthetases). tRNAs cope with the degeneracy of the genetic code in two manners: having more than one tRNA (with a specific anti-codon) for a particular amino acid; and 'wobble' base-pairing, i.e. permitting non-standard base-pairing at the 3rd anti-codon position.
Source: RNAcentral
GGUAAGGUAAGCUAAUUAAGCUUCUGAACUCAUGAUCCAUAUAUGUCGGUUAAAAUCCUACCCUUACCA